This 336-nucleotide unclassified non-coding RNA is filed under the name soil metagenome. Its description in RNAcentral is "partial contains 5.8S ribosomal RNA, internal transcribed spacer 2, and large subunit ribosomal RNA". The stretch from base 1 to 120 matches the Rfam family "5.8S ribosomal RNA", at positions 35 to 154 of the family's 154-position model. The record is from RNAcentral.
GAUGAAGAACGUAGCGAAAUGCGAUAAGUAGUGUGAAUUGCAGAAUUCAGUGAAUCAUCGAAUCUUUGAACGCACAUUGCGCCCCUUGGUAUUCCAUGGGGCAUGCCUGUUCGAGCGUCAUUUGUACCUUCAAGCUUUGCUUGGUGUUGGGUGUUUGUCUCGCCUUUGCGUGUAGACUCGCCUUAAAAUAAUUGGCAGCCGGCGUAUUGAUUUCUGAGCGCAGUACAUCUCGCGCUUUGCACUCAUAACGACAGCGUCCAAAAGUACAUUUUACACUCUUGACCUCGGAUCAGGUAGGGAUACCCGCUGAACUUAAGCAUAUCAAUAAGCGGAGGA